RNAcentral lists this transfer RNA (71 nucleotides) under Mus musculus (house mouse). It matches the Rfam family "tRNA". From Rfam's summary of the family: Transfer RNA (tRNA) molecules are approximately 80 nucleotides in length. The record is from Rfam by way of RNAcentral. Lineage: Eukaryota; Metazoa; Chordata; Mammalia; Rodentia; Muridae. RNAcentral also lists the same sequence under 1 other name.
GAGGCUGUAGCUCAGUUGGUAGAGCGUUUGCCUGGCAUGCAAUGCCCUAGGUUCAAUCCCUGGCACCCAUG